GCUGCCCGCUCGUACGCGACCCCAGGUCAGGCGGGGCUACCCGCUGAGUUUAAGCAUAUCAAUAAGCGGAG
Molecule: ribosomal RNA, 71 nt
Filed under: Acacia cowleana
Lineage: Eukaryota; Viridiplantae; Streptophyta; Magnoliopsida; Fabales; Fabaceae
Description: partial 26S ribosomal RNA
Source: RNAcentral